Molecule: ribosomal RNA, 495 nt
Filed under: DMSP-degrading marine bacterium JA16
Lineage: Bacteria; Pseudomonadati; Pseudomonadota; Gammaproteobacteria
Description: bacterial SSU rRNA
Rfam family: Bacterial small subunit ribosomal RNA
Source: RNAcentral
UGAUCCAGCCUGCCGCGUGUGUGAAGAAGGCCUUUUGGUUGUAAAGCACUUUAAGCAGUGAAGAAGACUCCGUGGUUAAUACCCACGGACGAUGACAUUAGCUGCAGAAUAAGCACCGGCUAACUCUGUGCCAGCAGCCGCGGUAAUACAGAGGGUGCAAGCGUUAAUCGGAAUUACUGGGUGUAAAGCGAGCGUAGGUGGCUUGAUAAGUCAGAUGUGAAAUCCCCGGGCUUAACCUGGGAACUGCAUCUGGAACUGUUAGGCUAGAGUAGGUGAGAGGGAAGUAGAAUUUCAGGUGUAGCGGUGAAAUGCGUAGAGAUCUGAAGGAAUACCGAUGGCGAAGGCAGCUUCCUGGCAUCAUACUGACACUGAGGCUCGAAAGCGUGGGUAGCAAACAGGAUUAGAUACCCUGGUAGUCCACGCCGUAAACGAUGUCUACUAGUCGUUGGGUCCCUUGAGGACUUAGUGACGCAGCUAACGCAAUAAGUAGACCGC